UGAGAUUAACUGUUUUGCCUUCUUUAUA
RNAcentral lists this non-coding RNA (28 nucleotides) under Rattus norvegicus (Norway rat). The record is from RNAcentral. Lineage: Eukaryota; Metazoa; Chordata; Mammalia; Rodentia; Muridae.